RNAcentral lists this ribosomal RNA (492 nucleotides) under uncultured bacterium. Its description in RNAcentral is "partial 16S ribosomal RNA". It matches the Rfam family "Bacterial small subunit ribosomal RNA", at positions 29 to 507 of the family's 1533-position model. The record is from RNAcentral.
AGUGAACGCUGGCGGUAGGCCUAACACAUGCAAGUCGAACGGCAGCACAGUAAGAGCUUGCUCUUACGGGUGGCGAGUGGCGGACGGGUGAGGAAUACAUCGGAAUCUACUUUUUCGUGGGGGAUAACGUAGGGAAACUUACGCUAAUACCGCAUACGACCUACGGGUGAAAGCAGGGGAUCUUCGGACCUUGCGCGAUUGAAUGAGCCGAUGUCGGAUUAGCUAGUUGGCGGGGUAAAGGCCCACCAAGGCGACGAUCCGUAGCUGGUCUGAGAGGAUGAUCAGCCACACUGGAACUGAGACACGGUCAAGACUCCUACGGGAGGCAGCAGUGGGGAAUAUUGGACAAUGGGCGAAAGCCUGAUCCAGCCAUCCCGGGUGGGUGAAGAAGGCCUUGGGUUUGUAAAGCCUUUUUUUUGGGAAGAAAAGGCAGCAGGUUAAUACCCCGCUGUUCUGACGGUACCAAAAGAAUAAGCACCGGCUAACUUCGUG